Sarcophilus harrisii (Tasmanian devil) is the source of this 433-nucleotide long non-coding RNA. RefSeq lists it as uncharacterized. NCBI's taxonomy places the organism in Eukaryota, Metazoa, Chordata, Mammalia, Dasyuromorphia, Dasyuridae. The record is from RefSeq and is a predicted model, not a curated record. The transcript has 4 exons.
UUUAUAGAUGAGGAAACUGAGACAGAGUUUAUUGACUUGCCCAGGGACUCUGAAGCCUUUACACAUGUUGAUUUCAUAAAUUCUUCAGCAUUCCCAUGAAAAAGCAAGCCUCAGCUUGAAAUGACUCUGUGAGCCUGUGCUGCUAUAUUCCACUGGGUUAUGACCAUGGAUCAUGCAUCCGAAUGCUAGAUGCCCCGUUUAAGAUGAACAACUGAGGCCCAGAGAAGUGAUUUGUUUAAAGGCAUUCAUACGAUAAGUGAUACAGCCAGAAUUUGAACCUAUUUUUUUAAAUCCAUAAAAUGGGACUAAUAACAUCUAACUCGCAGAGAUUUUCUGAGAAAUGAGUAAGAACAUGAGAAUAAGUGUUUUGUAGAAUGCUCUGUUGGGGAAGUUAAGUGGUUCAUAGAUCAGGGAUACCUGGGUUCAAAUCUAA